UGGCGAACGGGUGGGUAACGCGUGAGGAACCUGCCUCAAAGAGGGGGACAACAGUUGGAAACGACUGCUAAUACCGCAUAAGCCCACAGGUCGGCAUCGACCAGAGGGAAAAGGAGCAAUCCGCUUUGAGAUGGCCUCGCGUCCGAUUAGCUAGUUGGUGAGGUAACGGCCCACCAAGGCAACGAUCGGUAGCCGGACUGAGAGGUUGAACGGCCACAUUGGGACUGAGACACGGCCCAG
This 240-nucleotide ribosomal RNA is filed under the name uncultured bacterium. Its description in RNAcentral is "partial 16S ribosomal RNA". It matches the Rfam family "Bacterial small subunit ribosomal RNA", at positions 96 to 334 of the family's 1533-position model. The record is from RNAcentral.